AAAAAUUCAAAAUUGUUUCAGGUACCACCCAGCUGUUAUAACUCUGUUAGAUCCCACAUGGAAGGAAAAGCUUCAGACAAGUACUAAAACUUCCCUCUCUCCCUUGCCUUCGAUUCUAUCAGCUGUUGCCAUGUUAGUGCUCACAGCAAUGGAAUGAAUCUUAUUUUGGAGAAAGCAUUUUGCUUAAUUGCAUUAUUUCAAUUUCUAGAUUUCACUCUUUAUAACUAGAUAAGAUAAUUUAAUUAUUACUGUAGAAUGGUUUGGUGCUCGGGUAUGUUAUAAAACAAGAGUAACAUGCAUUUAUCCCACUAAAUUGGGUCAGCUACAUGAAUCUUUUUUCUCCAUUUUGUUC
This is a long non-coding RNA of Phalaenopsis equestris, 352 nucleotides long. RefSeq lists it as uncharacterized. The record is from RefSeq and is a predicted model, not a curated record. NCBI's taxonomy places the organism in Eukaryota, Viridiplantae, Streptophyta, Magnoliopsida, Asparagales, Orchidaceae. The transcript is spliced from 2 exons.